AGCAGCCGCGGUAAUUCCAGCUCCAAUAGCGUAUAUUAAAGUUGUUGCAGUUAAAAAGCUCGUAGUUGAAUUUCGGGAUCAAUAUGUUGGUCGUACCAUUGGUACGUACUGGCAUUAUUGAUUCCUACCUUCUGAAGAACCUUGAUGUCAUUAAUUUGGUGUCUUGGGGAAUCAGGACUGUUACUUUGAAAAAAUUAGAGUGUUUAAAGCAGGCUCGCGCUUGAAUACAUUAGCAUGGAAUAAUGAAAUAGGACGUUUGAUUCUAUUUUGUUGGUUUCUAGGAUCGAUGUAAUGAUUAAUAGGGAUAGUUGGGGGCAUUAGUAUUCAAUUGUCAGAGGUGAAAUUCUUGGAUUUAUUGAAGACUAACUACUGCGAAAGCAUUUGCCAAGGAUGUUUUCAUUAAUCAAGAACGAAAGUUAGGGGAUCGAAGACGAUCAGAUACCGUCGUAGUCUUAACCAUAAACUAUGCCGACUAGGGAUCGGAUGAUGUUAAUUUUUUAAUGACUCAUUCGGCGCCUUACG
RNAcentral lists this ribosomal RNA (522 nucleotides) under uncultured Glomeraceae. RNAcentral's name for it is "SSU rRNA". It matches the Rfam family "Eukaryotic small subunit ribosomal RNA", at positions 569 to 1092 of the family's 1831-position model. The record is from RNAcentral. Lineage: Eukaryota; Fungi; Glomeromycota; Glomeromycetes; Glomerales; Glomeraceae.